Molecule: ribosomal RNA, 426 nt
Filed under: Triticum aestivum (bread wheat)
Lineage: Eukaryota; Viridiplantae; Streptophyta; Magnoliopsida; Poales; Poaceae
Description: partial small subunit ribosomal RNA
Source: RNAcentral
AUGGGUGGCGGGGCUGAUGAAGGGGCUGUGGUUGUGGGAGGAAGAGAAGAAGGGGUAAAGAUUAGAUUGUUUGCGAAGGAAAAAGGGAAGAGCAUUGAGUUGCAGGCAGUGGGGAAGGUUGUGUCAGGUCGGCUUGCGCACUCAAAUGCCAUCCGCUUGUCGCUGGGUAGGGUUUGGUGCCCCAUUAAGGGCAUCGAUUGCAAGGAAGUGGGAGAGAACCGUUUCAUGUUUACGUUCUACCAAGACUCCGGGAAGAGGAAAGCGCUUGAUAAUGGGUCGUGGAUGUUCGACAAAAACUUGGUAGUAGUGGAGGAUUUUGUGCCCAGGAAGAGAAUUGAGGAUUAUGAGUUUAAUAACAUUCCGAUAUGGGUGAGGGUUUAUAAUUUACCUCUUGGGAUGAUGAAUGUGGAUUCAGCUAAGUGUUGA